CUCUCUUCUGCUCCCCCAGCUACCGGCGGCGCUGGUUCCAGCUCCCUCCCUCUCGCUUUGGCCUGCACUUGACUGACAACAAAACAACUAUGCAACACCCUUCCCUGCAGCAGCUGCAACAGUGUGUCCUGGGCGCAUUUUGUGCCUCUCCAGCUGUGUGUAGCUUGUUUUAGGAAGGAAGCAAAACAGAGAUCUCAUCAUCUAUUCCUAGCCAAGGUCACAGCUGGGAGCUGUACCGGUUCUGUGGGCGACGCCCCAAGGGAAGCACUAAUGAUUGGAGCAAAGGGUCCUCACAGAAGCAAUCAGCUUGGUGACUUUCUCUCUGGUCCUCCUGAGACUGCUCAAUGAUAGGAGAAAAGGCCCAGGUCUCCACGGUCUCUGUCUUGUUUUCUACUCCUUC
This 400-nucleotide long non-coding RNA is filed under the name Cricetulus griseus (Chinese hamster). RNAcentral describes it as "lncRNA (ENSCGRG00015041287.1)". The record is from RNAcentral. Lineage: Eukaryota; Metazoa; Chordata; Mammalia; Rodentia; Cricetidae.